CCUGCCCAGAUUUACGCAUCUCUCUCUCUCUCGGUCUGUGGCUUUUUUAUUGAAAGUUUUGAAAACAAAAAUUCUCAAAUCCUUGAAUAACCCUAAUAGGCUAAUCCCCAACCUUUUUAUUCUUUUCCCUAAUUACCAUCUCAAAGGAGAUCGUCGGCCACAAACAAUAAAGAAGAACAAGUGAAGGUUGAUGAGUUUCGAUCGGCUGUCGGCAACUCCUUGGAUAAUUCGAUUCGAACCCCAUUUUUAGCCAACAACUCAUUUCUUUCGAUUAUUGGUUAGUAAUUGUGGCCCUUUUUAAUACUUGUGUCAAGAUUUAAAAUAACCCUUUUUUGUAUUAAAACAAUUUUUUUAGGCAAGGUGUUUUGAUGUUUUAAUUUUUUAAAUUUUUUUUUUUUUUGCUAUGUGUAAUGUAUUUGAUUAACAAUAAUUUUUUAUCUAUGUUAUGUUUAUGGAUUAUAUUAUUAUGCUACAUUUUUUUUUUUUUGCAAAAGGUAUGCAUUUGGUAUUCGAAGUCUCCAAUUCCCUGUUCAUGAUCAUCCAUCGGAUUCGGAUCCAAAUGCAUUUGCGACUAUAAAUAAUUGGAAUUAAUUAGGCGUGUAAAUUUUGCUAAACUUCAACAGUAGUAUUAAUUUAUAGAAAUAAAAUGAGGUAGAAAGUCUUUAACACGUCUUCCAACAUUUCAUUCUGAAUUUGAAAUGAUGUUCACCGGAUUAUAUAAGCAUUUAACAAAUAACAAAUGAAUAGAAAUAUAAGCAUAACUAAUUAAUGUAGUGUAUAGUACAAAAUAGUUGAAAAAUAAGCGAGGUUUAGUAUUCUUGUUGAUGAAGUGUAGUACAAAAUAGAUUAAUGAGGUUUUGAAAAAUAACUGAUUAAACAUAACUGAUUAAUGCAAAGUUUAGUAUUCUUGUUGAUGAAGCUCGAGAUGCAUCUUCACAAGAACAAAUGAUUAUUAUCUUGAGGUUUGUGAGUGGUAAUGGAAUUUUGACAGAACGUUUUUUUUGCAAUCAAAAGUGUUAGUGACACUACAUCGUUGAAUCUUAAGAAUCAAAUAUCUGAUGUUUUUGUUCAACCUUCAACUGCAAAACAUGAGAGGUCAAUGGUAUGAUAGUGCUAAUAACAUGCGUAGUGCUUGGAAUGGACUACAAGCAUUAUUUCUUAGAGAUUGUCUGUAUGCGUAUUAUGUCCAUUGUUUUGCCCAUCGUUUACAACUCAUGUUAGUUUCAGCAGCUAGGGAUGUCGCAGAUAUUAAUUCAUUCUUUUCAGAUUUGGACAAUGUUAUUAAUAUGAUUACAUCAUCUCCUAAGCGCAUCAAUGAGUUGAAAAGUUUCCAAAAAAAAGAAAUUGAACAUUUGUUCGAAAUUGGAGAACGAAAGACUAGAAGUGGGGCUAAUCAAGUUGGUAACUUGCAACGAGCUGGAGGUACCCGUUGGUCUUCUCAUUACAACUCUGUAAAGAAUUUGAUUGAUAUGUAUGCUGCAACUUGCAAGGUGCUUGAGUAUCUUGGUGAUCAUUCUCCAAAUGUAAGAACUCAAUCUGAAGUGGGUGGUGUAUACAAAAAAUUGACAACAUUUGAAUUUGUAUUUAUUUUGCAUUUAAUGCACCUAAUGUUGGCAAUCACAGAUAUGCUUUGUCAAGCCCUUCAGAAAAAAACUCAAGACAUUUUAACUGCUAUGAGAUUUGUCCAUACUACAAAAACCAUCAUUCAAGAAUUGAGAUCCCUGGGAAGAAUUUCUUGAAGAGGUGAAUUAUUUUUGCUCAAAAAAUGAUAUACAUAUACCUGACUUUCACGGUUCAUACAUGGUUGGUUGUUCUCGUGGUCAUGAGUAUCCUACCAUCGAACAUCAUUACCACUUCGAUAUUUUUAAUGCAGCUAUAGAUUUUCUGAUGACGGAGUUAGAUACAAGAUUUAAUGAGACAUCAUUAGAACUCCUUUCUCUCGAUGUGGCAUUGGAUCCGAAAAAUUCUUUUGACUCAUUUAACAUGGAUAAUAUUUGCAAGCCUGCAGAGAAAUUUUAUCCUCAAGACUUUACACAAUAAGAUAUUUAUAAUUUGAAAGUUGAGUUGCAACAUUUUCAGCAUAAUGUGAUUUCUAAACCUCGAUUUCAAGUAACUACACCUUUUGAUUUAUGUCAAGAAUUGGUUGCAAGUAGAAGAUCGGAGAGUUACGUCAAUUUGACUAAAUUGAUUCGUCUAGUAUUGACACUGCCUGUUUCAACGGUCACUGUGGAGCGAGCAUUUUCUGCAAUGAAACAUGUGAAGACGAAAAUUCGUAACAAAAUGGAUGAUGAUUUUCUUGCUGAUUGUAUGACACUUUACAUUGAACGAGAAUCUUCUUUGGAUUUAGAUUUAGAUUCUAUUAUUGAUGAAUUUUAUGCUAUAAAGUAUUGUCG
This 2393-nucleotide long non-coding RNA is filed under the name Olea europaea subsp. europaea. The record is from RNAcentral. Lineage: Eukaryota; Viridiplantae; Streptophyta; Magnoliopsida; Lamiales; Oleaceae.